RNAcentral lists this ribosomal RNA (403 nucleotides) under Papilio polytes polytes. Its description in RNAcentral is "partial 16S ribosomal RNA". Lineage: Eukaryota; Metazoa; Arthropoda; Insecta; Lepidoptera; Papilionidae. RNAcentral also lists the same sequence under 2 other names. The record is from RNAcentral.
GGGCUGCAGUAUUUUGACUGUACAAAGGUAGCAUAAUCAAUAGUCUCUUAAUUAGUGACUUGUAUGAAAGAUUGGAUGAAAUAUAUUCUGUCUCUAAUUAAUUUAUAGAAAUUAAUUUUUUAGUAAAAAAGCUAAAAUAAUUUUAAAAGACGAGAAGACCCUAUAGAGUUUAAUAAUUUAUUUAAUUAUUAUUAAUAUAUAAUUUUUAAAAUUAAAAUUAAAUAAAUUAUUUUGUUGGGGUGAUAGAAAAAUUAAAUUAACUUUUUUUAUUUAUUAACAUUAAUUUAUGAUUAGAUGAUCCAUUAAUAAUGAUUAAAAGAAAAAAUUACCUUAGGGAUAACAGCGUAAUUUUUUUUUUUAGUUCAAAUAGGAAAAAAAGUUUGCGACCUCGAUGUUGGAUUAA